GCCGACCAGCCAAGCAAUUAGCCAACACUUUGUCACCAAUUUAGCAAAAUAUACAUAUUACAUUAAUUGGCCUGAAGUUCCUGACCUGUACUGCACCUUCCAUCUUAUAUAGGUAUUAAUGUUUUUCAGCAUCCAUAGGUUUCUAUAAUUUCAUCGUAGACUGCAUGAAUUGCUAUCAAUGCAUUUCCUUAAUGAUUAACCAAUAAACGAUGUAGAAGCGUCCAAC
RNAcentral lists this long non-coding RNA (226 nucleotides) under Setaria italica (foxtail millet). Its description in RNAcentral is "long non-coding RNA (SITA_LNC007092)". Lineage: Eukaryota; Viridiplantae; Streptophyta; Magnoliopsida; Poales; Poaceae. The record is from RNAcentral.